This is an unclassified non-coding RNA of Erinaceus europaeus (western European hedgehog), 332 nucleotides long. Its record names the gene 7SK. It matches the Rfam family "7SK RNA". Rfam says of the family: 7SK was discovered as an abundant small nuclear RNA in the mid-70s but a possible function has only recently been suggested. Two independent studies have found that 7SK RNA binds the CDK9/cyclin T complex (known as elongation factor P-TEFb). NCBI's taxonomy places the organism in Eukaryota, Metazoa, Chordata, Mammalia, Eulipotyphla, Erinaceidae. The record is from Ensembl.
GGAUGUGAGGGCGAUCUGGCUGCGACAUCUGUCACCCCAUUGAUCGCCAGGGUUGAUUCGGCUGAUCUGGCUGGCUAGGCGGGUGUCCCCUUCCUCCCUCACCACUCCAUGUGCGUCCCUCCCGAAGCUGCGCGCUCGGUCGAAGAGGACGGCCUUCCCCGAAUAGAGACGGACCGGUCUUCGGUCGAGGGUAUACGAGUAGCUGCGCUCCCCUGCUAGAACCUCCAAACAAGCUCUCAAGGUCCAUUUGUAGGAGAACGUAGGGUAGUCAAGCUUCCAAGACUCCAGACACAUCCAAAUGAGGCGCUGCAUGUGGCAGUCUGCCUUUCUAA